This 514-nucleotide ribosomal RNA is filed under the name uncultured Prevotellaceae bacterium. Its description in RNAcentral is "partial 16S ribosomal RNA". The record is from RNAcentral. Lineage: Bacteria; Pseudomonadati; Bacteroidota; Bacteroidia; Bacteroidales; Prevotellaceae.
CACGGAAUUAGCCGGUCCUUAUUCAUGCGGUACCUGCAAACAUCCACACGUGGACACCUUUAUCCCCGCAUAAAGGAGGUUUACAACCCAUAGGGCAGUCUUCCCUCACGCUACUUGGCUGGUUCAGCCUUACGGCCAUUGACCAAUAUUCCUCACUGCUGCCUCCCGUAGGAGUCUGGACCGUGUCUCAGUUCCAGUGUGGGGGACCUUCCUCUCAGAACCCCUACCGAUCGAUGCCUUGGUGGGCCGUUACCCCGCCAACAAGCUAAUCGGACGCAUCCCCACCCUUUACCGAUAAAUCUUUGCUCCGACACAGAUGUCCGGGACGGAGAACAUGGGGGAUUAAUCCGCCUUUCGACGGGCUGGACCCCAGUAAAGGGAAGGUUGGAUACGCGUUACUCACCCGUGCGCCGGUCGCCAUCGGCCCAUCCCGAAAGAUAGGCCAUGCUGCCCCUCGACUUGCAUGUGUUAAGCCUGUAGCUAGCGUUCAUCCUGAGCCAGGAUCAAAACUCUA